This 134-nucleotide small RNA is filed under the name Salmonella enterica subsp. enterica serovar Thompson. Its description in RNAcentral is "RtT sRNA". It matches the Rfam family "RtT RNA". From Rfam's summary of the family: This family represents a bacterial cis-regulatory element known as RtT RNA. The exact function of RtT is unknown although it is thought that it may be involved in changing the cellular response in relation to amino acid starvation. Lineage: Bacteria; Pseudomonadati; Pseudomonadota; Gammaproteobacteria; Enterobacterales; Enterobacteriaceae. RNAcentral also lists the same sequence under 25 other names. The record is from RNAcentral.
UGCAUCUGAAGCCUGACGAGGAUGAGAACCUCCGGGGGCAAGAGGUUCGACUCGAGCGCAGCGAGAGAACGUUGCGUCAGCAACGGCCCGCAGGGCGAGCCACGCAGUGGCGAGUCAUCCUCUAUCACCGGCAG